GACCGGCUGCCUUGACGACUCGUCGGCAGCGCUGCCCAGGAUAUGCCAGGCGUUGCGCGGCCAGCCAGCGAAGGUUCCUCGACAUUACGCUAUCCGCCGUGUACGACGAGAGGUGUGUGGCAGUGUAGGACACUCGAUUGUUUAGCCUAGUUGCCGAGCUUGUGUGAAAUUCGCUGAGCCGCAGCUGUUCAGUUGCUCAUGACUAUUCGACUGAAGUGGCUGUCGCAACAGCAGCUCGGAUCGCUGUGUGGUGGUGCCCUGCAAGUUGUAGUCUAAGCUCAAGUGGCGGGCGCAGCAAACCAAAAAAAAAAAAAUAAAAUAUAAAAAUAAAAGCAAAAAAAAAGGUGCCAGAAAUGUGUCGCGUACCAUAGCAUACAUCCAGGCGUUGUGCCACAUUUUAACUUCAUACGCCUGCAAUUUGUAGCUGUGCUUAAGUGUAGCCAGAUUCGCAAUGCUAUCAUCACCGUUAUCAACAUCAUUCGCAGCAUUAUCAGCGUCACCAUCAACCUAAUCAUUGCAUUUAACUGAGUCAUCAUAUUACUAAGCAUCCUCUAUGAUCUCGAGUCAAGGCAACGCACAGUUGGGAUAUAUAAAAAUUUGUCUGCCAGCACCACAUCCUGGCAGCGGUUGGUGUGUGUAAGAUCUAAAGAGCGCGCACAACUACACACACACGCAGGAAAAGUCGAAAAGUCGCAUCAACCUCCGAUAACUAGUUCAACCGCACUAUCACCACUGCGCACACUGCCAUCAGCCACUCACAGCCAGCAGCAGCACCGCCAUAACCACCAUCACCACCACCACCUCCAUCGCCACCACAUCUCAGCGCUUCCUCAUUACAUCGCACAGUGCUCGCCUCAAUAUUUUUGCGGGUUUUCUUUCCGCCUUCAGCCACAUUCUCAUGCAUCGGCGAAUUCCGAAAAAACACAAUGCAAAAAUAUACUCUACUGUUGCACACACACACACGUGCUUACGUGCGGCAUGGCUUUUAUUAGUGAUUAGCGUGUUGCGUGUUUUCUUCGUGUUCAAGUGAAAAAAAAAUCCCUUUCGCUCUCGUCUCCCGCCUUCCGCACAAUGGUAUUCCGAGUGCUGACUCCGAACAAUCUUACAUACAAACCGAAAGUCUUGCUCCGUCGGUGUUUUGUUGGCGUUAAAUGCGCUGUCGUGUCAAGUGAAAUUAACUUUAAAUGCAAUUUAAUUGCUCCGUACUCGAAGCUCAAGUCGUAGAAGGGCAUUAGUACUUUACUGCCAGCCGCAAAAGUGUGGCAACGUGUGUGCUUCCCAAUGAAUUUAUGUGUUUGUGGUGACUGUGUGCAUCUAACGGUACAGCUAAAUAUAUGCCUCAAGUCGCUGUGAGGCGUCAGCGAACUUGCGGAUGAAUAAGCCAGAUGCAAAUUCUUUACUGUUGGCACUGUCUAAAGAGACAGACUUCUAAUUUAUGGAUAGAGAAAUACUAAGAUAUGAGAACACAAAUCAGUACCUGUUGAAAAUGGCAGUAAAGUUAGCGCAGUUUGUGCAGCUGAGGACUAAAAAGAGAGCUUACGCUUGCAACACCGCUGACCGCAACAUCAGCACCAUUGUCUUGAAGCGACUGUCACUACGCUUAAUCACCGAAUAAGUAAAACAAGAACGAAUGCGAAAAACCAAAGGGAUAAGAAAUAGCAAUUUAAAAAUGGCGCACGAAAGAGUGGACAUUGUCGACAAGCAAAAUCCGGGCACUGCCAACCCGUGAGGGCGUACCGGGAGCUGGAAAACGGGAAUAUAAUGAGAAGUGAGAGAAAAAGUGGCAAAAACUAGUGAUAAUAUGCAUUGGAUUGAAGGACAGCUGCAACAGUGGCACAGCGCACACUGUGCGGUACAAAAUGAGAAAAUACAUGCAUACAUUUGUACAUUUGUACAUAUGUAUGUAUGUUUGUAUGCAAGAAUACGGUAAAUAAGCACAUCCGUUUAAAUAAAUAUACCGCAUUCAGAGUACGGUUUGUAGUGUCGUGGGGCGGACGGACACUUGCAACACAUCAAGUAAAUUCCGAGAUUGUCAACCAGACACGCCCUGUGGCGAUGCCACCGACACAUGCAACACUGACCGGGAUCACACGAGCACACACAGGAGAACAAGCAGUCAUUUCAACGCCAACAAUGACAGCAACAACAACAACGGUCCACAAAUCAACAGCCCGACAAAAGUGCAGUUGCACAAACACCUACACACACACACACACACACACACUUCUUGGACUUGGGACGGCAGCAAGCAUCCCUGAAAAGAGCGAGAAAGAGGAAAACCGGAAAAUGAGAAAAAUUGAAAAGACACUAAGAAAAAUUAAGCAAAUGGACAGCUAGAAGGCGGGGAUGAGCGCGGAGCGAGCUUUGCUUGCGAUAAAGAAAAAUUAAGUGGAAAAGUGACCGGACAACGAGAAAUAAGUGUCCGGAUGAAAUGAAAACUCCUCACUUGCCGCUAAGUCCGGCACUAAAAAGGAAAGGAAACCGAACAACGGCAGUUUGACCUCAGCACAGACCGCAGGCAGCGUACCGUUAUGCGCAAAGUGUGACACCCUGCCACGCCGCCUCUCUUCGUGUUGCAUUUUGCGGACCCAUUCCUUUGCGUGAAAUUGAAGUUCUGCGAAAAUUUAAUAAAAGUAAAAUGUGGCCGACUUACAAGGUGGAGUACACUCCCGGCGAUGUGUGGGUGUGUUUGUGUUUGUGUGUGUGACUGUGGGAUGGCAUGUGUAUCUGCGCCGUGCAAACACACGACAGACAGGCGAGGUGGGCAUGGCUGCAGAGUCCGGUUGACCGACGCUUAAAGUCAACUCAAUGGAUGACAGGACUUUGCUUGUAAUGCGAUUCAUUUUGCAAUGAUUUUGUGAUUUUCUGACACUUUUGUAGAUGUCCGAGACACAAAGCCAACAAUAGAUGAGCGACAGCAGAAGAGCAACGCUGACUUCAAUAACUACCGGUUACCGGAGCGGAGGCGCACGCAGGCGGGAUUUCUUUAGUUUUGACAGGAAACUUUAGCAGCAAAACCAUCAACAGUGGAAUGGACUGUCAGUGAACCUGCAAUCAGCGUUCUACUCGUUCCGAGCAAAGCCUGUAACGAAGAACUCUUAGAAGAAGAAGAAGAAAUGGAGUCAAAGAAGGCAGUGUGAUAAAAAUGUCAGCAGCUGUGCAUAAGGUAAAGGACACCGACUAAGUUGGAGACAGUGUUCAGCUGCGAGUUUUAGGUAUAUUGGCAAUGAAAAGGGGCAGCUUUGGCAUCGCCAUACGCAACUUCAUUUCUGUUGCAAUAUUUAAUAAGCUAAUACCAAUAAUAAUGUCAGCAAAGCCAGCUGUAUCUGUGUUAAGUCCCAACUUCUGCGCGUUCUCCACACAAUUCGAUUUUUAGCUCU
Long non-coding RNA from Bactrocera neohumeralis, 3380 nucleotides. RefSeq lists it as uncharacterized. The record is from RefSeq and is a predicted model, not a curated record. The transcript has 6 exons. Lineage: Eukaryota; Metazoa; Arthropoda; Insecta; Diptera; Tephritidae.